GCUAAUUAUCAAGCCUAAAAACACCGAAUAAAUCUCCACUAAACUUCAAUUAGAUAAAACAUUUUAUUGUCUAAGUAAAGGCGAUUAAAAAGACUCUAAGAGCUUCAACUUUAGUACCGCAAGGGAAUGAUGAAAUAUAAGUGAAAUAAAAUAAAG
RNAcentral lists this ribosomal RNA (156 nucleotides) under Occidozyga laevis. Its description in RNAcentral is "partial 16S ribosomal RNA". The record is from RNAcentral. Lineage: Eukaryota; Metazoa; Chordata; Amphibia; Anura; Dicroglossidae.